GAGAAUGCCGGUGUGAGUAGCGAAAGACGGGUGAGAAUCCCGUCCACCGAUUGACUAAGGUUUCCAGAGGAAGGCUCGUCCGCUCUGGGUUAGUCGGGUCCUAAGCUGAGGCCGACAGGCGUAGGCGAUGGAUAACAGGUUGAUAUUCCUGUACCACCUAUAAUCGUUUUAAUCGAUGGGGGGACGCAGUAGGAUAGGCGAAGCGUGCGAUUGGAUUGCACGUCUAAGCAGUAAGGCUGAGUAUUAGGCAAAUCCGGUACUCGUUAAGGCUGAGCUGUGAUGGGGAGAAGACAUUGUGUCUUCGAGUCGUUGAUUUCACACUGCCGAGAAAAGCCUCUAGAUAGAAAAUAGGUGCCCGUACCGCAAACCGACACAGGUAGUCAAGAUGAGAAUUCUAAGGUGAGCGAGCGAACUCUCGUUAAGGAACUCGGCAAAAUGACCCCGUAACUUCGGGAGAAGGGGUGCUCUUUAGGGUUAACGCCCAGAAGAGCCGCAGUGAAUAGGCCCAAGCGACUGUUUAUCAAAAACACAGGUCUCUGCUAAACCGUAAGGUGAUGUAUAGGGGCUGACGCCUGCCCGGUGCUGGAAGGUUAAGAGGAGUGGUUAGCUUUUGCGAAGCUACGAAUCGAAGCCCCAGUAAACGGCGGCCGUAACUAUAACGGUCCUAAGGUAGCGAAAUUCCUUGUCGGGUAAGUUCCGACCCGCACGAAAGGCGUAACGAUUUGGGCACUGUCUCAACGAGAGACUCGGUGAAAUCAUAGUACCUGUGAAGAUGCAGGUUACCCGCGACAGGACGGAAAGACCCCGUGGAGCUUUACUGUAGCCUGAUAUUGAAAUUCGGCACAGCUUGUACAGGAUAGGUAGGAGCCUUUGAAACGUGAGCGCUAGCUUACGUGGAGGCGCUGGUGGGAUACUACCCUAGCUGUGUUGGCUUUCUAACCCGCACCACUUAUCGUGGUGGGAGACAGUGUCAG
This 974-nucleotide ribosomal RNA is filed under the name Staphylococcus aureus. RNAcentral's name for it is "partial 23S ribosomal RNA". It matches the Rfam family "Bacterial large subunit ribosomal RNA", at positions 1290 to 2260 of the family's 2925-position model. The record is from RNAcentral. Lineage: Bacteria; Bacillati; Bacillota; Bacilli; Caryophanales; Staphylococcaceae.